AAUGAUCUCAGACGAGAAAAAAAACUAUCGCUGUCAACCUCACCUCCUCCACUCCAACUUGAUUUGUUUAUGGAGAUCCCACCGUUGUUCAUCAAGGACCCAUUGCACCAAAGGUCAAGAGAGGAUUUGGGUGAAGCGCGUGAGGUGCGUUAUGUUUAGGUUUUUCCAAGUACGUUUAUUAUUUUUAUUCCUCUUCACUGUGGUUUUAGCCCACAAAGUGGCUUUAUAAAUGUCGUCACGGACUCAUAAAACGACGUCGGUGUACAACAAAAGUAAUCCAAUUUUAGGGUGAUUAUAUAUCAGAAAGAUUCGAUUUUUAGUUACAGUGAGCGAGCCGAGUCAAAUAUUCCCGCCUAAUUACCAACGAUCAUCUUGGUCGUAACUCGUAAGUCGUAAGCCAAACCCUAAUUCUUCAAAAUGGAAGAAAACCCUAUUCCACAACACUCUGAUCAGAGCCCACCUCGGUUUCGGCGAAGCCCAUAAGGCUCUUCUUCUCUUCUCUUCACCCAGAUGCUUUCCCACCAAGCCCACCCCAACAGCCACACCUUCCCUCCGCUCGUCAAAGCCGUCGCCGGCGGCUAGCCGGGUUCCGGCACAGCCCAAGUUGCGAAACGCGGUGUUUGGGGUGACCCGUUUGUAUGCUGGUUUUGGUGAAGUGUGCGAUGCACGUAAGGUGUUCGAUGAAAUGACUGAACCGUGUGUGGUUGCUUUCAAUGCCUUGAGUGAUGGGUUUGGGAAGAAUGGGGACAUGAUAUGGGUGGUGCUGUUUCGCUAUUCGAAAGUAUGGCAGAGAGGGACGAGUGGGUUUGGUGAGGAAAAAAUUGAAAUGAAGUUGCAGCCACAGCAUUGUGGACGAUACUUGGUUUUGUCAAACAUUCAUGCUGGGAACGAUAGGUGGGAUCACAGAAUUCCAGCCCAGAGUCUGAUUGACGGCAGGUUUUCUGGGGAUAUCCAGAGACUGGAUUUCAUGAUCAAGCUCCAAACGUUUGCUACUAAAGAAUGACAGAACUCAGAUGGAUACCCUACUUUACGCCCAGAAGUCAAUCAGAUUAUGUUAGACAUCAUCCAAAAAAACUACCGCAAGCCAGCUUAGGAAACAGUCUGCAAUAAGAAACAAUUCAGUCUUUCUCGUUAGGCCAUCAGUGAUCGAGCAAUAAUGAAAGGAGAGACACAAGUGGGCGACCUCCCUCAGUAGUUGUCCUUCCAGAACUAAAGAGGAAUAUCUAUGUUGACAUACUGUUUGUACUUCGUUGAAUUUUAUUUGGUAACAAAUUUUUAGUUAUGUUAUUAGUAACAAGUUGCAGUUAAAAAGAUUGAUUUUUCCGA
Rosa rugosa (rugosa rose) is the source of this 1326-nucleotide long non-coding RNA. RefSeq lists it as uncharacterized. The transcript has 2 exons. Lineage: Eukaryota; Viridiplantae; Streptophyta; Magnoliopsida; Rosales; Rosaceae. The record is from RefSeq and is a predicted model, not a curated record.